UGUGUGUGUGUGUGUGUGUGUGAAAUGCAGAGGUGUUCACAGAGUCCAGAAGAGGGUGUCAGAUCCUCUGGAAUUGGAGUUGCCCAGUAUGGAUGAGUAUUGGUGACUGAACUCAGAUUAUCUAGAAGAACAAGGAGCUGAGCCAUCUCUGCAGCCCCUUCCAUUGUUUCUUAAUUCAUACAGAAAUCUUGAGAUGUGAACAGAGGAGCCAGACCUGGUGGUAGAGUCAUAAUCCUAGCACUGGAGAGCAUGAGUCAGAAGGAGGACAAGUUCGAGGUCAGUCUAAGGGAUAUAGAUAGUGCUAGGCCAGUUUGGACCAAAGGACUUAUUGAGCUUCUUUGAAAAAUGUCUUAUUCAUAAUUAUGUGAAAUUUGACUACUUUUUGUGUAGUUCUAAAGUAGAAAAAAGUUGUAAAUUAAAUGUGAGAGUAGAAGAACUAUAAUUAAGAUAUUUAACAAGGAGAGUAGUAAAAUAAAUUAUCCACAACCACCACACAUUAUCGUAGAGCAGCAGCUAACUGCCUAGUACCUAUAGACUCUUAAGAAUAUCAUUAAACGCCACAUAUCAGUCCUGAUGAUAAAUUCACUGUGUAAAUUUUAAAGUAUAUUUGUAAUUUUGAAAAAUCAUAAAAUUGUAGGAAUGUAUAGUAGAGCAGAGAGUAGUAGUUGGCUUUCUUUUGUUUUGUUUGAGGUAGUCUCCUGUAGUCAAGGCUGACUUCAAGUCUGCUUUGUAGUCUACUCCUCCUACCUUCAUCUGAUCCACCUCCCAAGUCCUGGGAUUGCAGGUGUGCUCUACCACACCUGGUGUUCUACUAGUUCUGGAGUCCCAGGCUUUCGGCACGUGGGGCAAGUGUGCUAGCCACAGCCCCAACUUAAGUAGACAGAAACUGUUAGAACAUAAACCUUCAAGUAAAAACUAUCCAAGUGCUCUUUUUUUUUUCCACUUAUUUUGAAAUUUUUUAUGUGUAUGUAUGCCUGAGUGUAUGAAUGAAGACUGCAUGGGUCCACGUGCCUGUGGAGUCCCCAGGAAGCCAUUGGAUCCCUUGGAGCUGAAGUUAAUGAAAACUGGGGUAUGGGUUUGGGAAACUAAACCUGGGUUUCUGCAAACCCUUAACCCCUGAAUCACUCUAGCUCCAGUGCUCAUCCUGUAACUUACAUUUUAUCAUUCCUGUCCUUAAGCAGAAAUGAUAAUAUGAUUUUUAAAGGUUAUUUAGAAGUUUAGAUGACAUAAGUAUAUCUUUAGAACAUACCUGACACCAAAUCCCACUCCAUAAAUGUCAUAUUCUCUUCUUCACUCUGACAACAGAAUAAUUUUAGAUAUACUUAUCUAGACUAUUUGAGAAAGUUCUUUAAACAUUAAUAUUCAAACUACAUUUUAAAAAUCAUUGUACAAGGGGCUGGAGAGAUGGCUCAGUGAGUGGUUAAGAAUACUGGGAGGCAGAGACAGGCAGAUCUGGGUGAGGCCAGCCUGGUGAAAUAGCAUCAGGCCCUGUCUCAAAAAUCAAACAAAUAAAAUGCAUACUACUCUUGCAAAGGACAUGAGUUCUCUAGCACCCAUACUGAGUGACCUACAACUACCUGUAAUUUAAACUCCAGGGGAUCUGACACUCUCUUCUGAUCUCUUCAGGCCCUGCACUCAUAUGUAUAUACUCACACAGAUACACAUAUAUACACAUAGUCUUUAAAAAUUAAGUUAAAAAAAAUCUUUGUAUAGUUUAGGAUUAACUACUGGGUGAGCAAUGGUCAGAAAUUUGUCAGAAGGGGUGGGUGGAUAUGGGGGACUUUUGGUAUAGCAUUGGAAAUGUAAAUGAGUUAAAUACCUAAUAAAAAAU
This 1831-nucleotide long non-coding RNA is filed under the name Mus musculus (house mouse). RNAcentral's name for it is "long non-coding RNA chr1:160910788-160912619". Lineage: Eukaryota; Metazoa; Chordata; Mammalia; Rodentia; Muridae. The record is from RNAcentral.